UUCUUAUUAGUUUAAUGGUAGAACAAGAUAUUCCUAAUACCUUAGUCUAAGUUCGAGUCUUAGAUAAGAAA
This 71-nucleotide transfer RNA is filed under the name Neocucurbitaria cava. RNAcentral describes it as "Pyrenochaeta cava tRNA". It matches the Rfam family "tRNA". Rfam says of the family: Transfer RNA (tRNA) molecules are approximately 80 nucleotides in length. Their secondary structure includes four short double-helical elements and three loops (D, anti-codon, and T loops). Lineage: Eukaryota; Fungi; Ascomycota; Dothideomycetes; Pleosporales; Cucurbitariaceae. The record is from Rfam by way of RNAcentral.